This is a small nuclear RNA of Phodopus roborovskii (desert hamster), 102 nucleotides long. NCBI's taxonomy places the organism in Eukaryota, Metazoa, Chordata, Mammalia, Rodentia, Cricetidae. The record is from RefSeq and is a predicted model, not a curated record.
GUGCUCACUUCUAAACACAUUUACUAAAAUUGGAACAAUACAAUGAUUAACAUGGCCCUGCCGAAGGAUGAUACACAGGUCUAUGAUGCAUUCCAAAGAAAG